Molecule: ribosomal RNA, 115 nt
Filed under: Pteropus alecto (black flying fox)
Lineage: Eukaryota; Metazoa; Chordata; Mammalia; Chiroptera; Pteropodidae
Source: RNAcentral
GUUUAUGGUCAUGCCACCCUGAACAAGCCCGAUGUCUGAUCUCAGAAGCUAAGCAGGGUCGAGCAGCUUAGUACUUGGAUGGGAGACCACCUAGGAAGACCAGGUGCUGUAGGCA